This 2902-nucleotide ribosomal RNA is filed under the name Escherichia coli. RNAcentral describes it as "bacterial LSU rRNA". It matches the Rfam family "Bacterial large subunit ribosomal RNA". Lineage: Bacteria; Pseudomonadati; Pseudomonadota; Gammaproteobacteria; Enterobacterales; Enterobacteriaceae. The record is from RNAcentral.
UUAAGCGACUAAGCGUACACGGUGGAUGCCCUGGCAGUCAGAGGCGAUGAAGGACGUGCUAAUCUGCGAUAAGCGUCGGUAAGGUGAUAUGAACCGUUAUAACCGGCGAUUUCCGAAUGGGGAAACCCAGUGUGUUUCGACACACUAUCAUUAACUGAAUCCAUAGGUUAAUGAGGCGAACCGGGGGAACUGAAACAUCUAAGUACCCCGAGGAAAAGAAAUCAACCGAGAUUCCCCCAGUAGCGGCGAGCGAACGGGGAGCAGCCCAGAGUCUGAAUCAGUGUGUGUGUUAGUGGAAGCGUCUGGAAAGGCGCGCGAUACAGGGUGACAGCCCCGUACACAAAAAUGCACAUGCUGUGAGCUCGAUGAGUAGGGCGGGACACGUGGUAUCCUGUCUGAAUAUGGGGGGACCAUCCUCCAAGGCUAAAUACUCCUGACUGACCGAUAGUGAACCAGUACCGUGAGGGAAAGGCGAAAAGAACCCCGGCGAGGGGAGUGAAAAAGAACCUGAAACCGUGUACGUACAAGCAGUGGGAGCACGCUUAGGCGUGUGACUGCGUACCUUUUGUAUAAUGGGUCAGCGACUUAUAUUCUGUAGCAAGGUUAACCGAAUAGGGGAGCCGAAGGGAAACCGAGUCUUAACUGGGCGUUAAGUUGCAGGGUAUAGACCCGAAACCCGGUGAUCUAGCCAUGGGCAGGUUGAAGGUUGGGUAACACUAACUGGAGGACCGAACCGACUAAUGUUGAAAAAUUAGCGGAUGACUUGUGGCUGGGGGUGAAAGGCCAAUCAAACCGGGAGAUAGCUGGUUCUCCCCGAAAGCUAUUUAGGUAGCGCCUCGUGAAUUCAUCUCCGGGGGUAGAGCACUGUUUCGGCAAGGGGGUCAUCCCGACUUACCAACCCGAUGCAAACUGCGAAUACCGGAGAAUGUUAUCACGGGAGACACACGGCGGGUGCUAACGUCCGUCGUGGAGAGGGAAACAACCCAGACCGCCAGCUAAGGUCCCAAAGUCAUGGUUAAGUGGGAAACGAUGUGGGAAGGCCCAGACAGCCAGGAUGUUGGCUUAGAAGCAGCCAUCAUUUAAAGAAAGCGUAAUAGCUCACUGGUCGAGUCGGCCUGCGCGGAAGAUGUAACGGGGCUAAACCAUGCACCGAAGCUGCGGCAGCGACGCUUAUGCGUUGUUGGGUAGGGGAGCGUUCUGUAAGCCUGCGAAGGUGUGCUGUGAGGCAUGCUGGAGGUAUCAGAAGUGCGAAUGCUGACAUAAGUAACGAUAAAGCGGGUGAAAAGCCCGCUCGCCGGAAGACCAAGGGUUCCUGUCCAACGUUAAUCGGGGCAGGGUGAGUCGACCCCUAAGGCGAGGCCGAAAGGCGUAGUCGAUGGGAAACAGGUUAAUAUUCCUGUACUUGGUGUUACUGCGAAGGGGGGACGGAGAAGGCUAUGUUGGCCGGGCGACGGUUGUCCCGGUUUAAGCGUGUAGGCUGGUUUUCCAGGCAAAUCCGGAAAAUCAAGGCUGAGGCGUGAUGACGAGGCACUACGGUGCUGAAGCAACAAAUGCCCUGCUUCCAGGAAAAGCCUCUAAGCAUCAGGUAACAUCAAAUCGUACCCCAAACCGACACAGGUGGUCAGGUAGAGAAUACCAAGGCGCUUGAGAGAACUCGGGUGAAGGAACUAGGCAAAAUGGUGCCGUAACUUCGGGAGAAGGCACGCUGAUAUGUAGGUGAAGUCCCUCGCGGAUGGAGCUGAAAUCAGUCGAAGAUACCAGCUGGCUGCAACUGUUUAUUAAAAACACAGCACUGUGCAAACACGAAAGUGGACGUAUACGGUGUGACGCCUGCCCGGUGCCGGAAGGUUAAUUGAUGGGGUCAGCGCAAGCGAAGCUCUUGAUCGAAGCCCCGGUAAACGGCGGCCGUAACUAUAACGGUCCUAAGGUAGCGAAAUUCCUUGUCGGGUAAGUUCCGACCUGCACGAAUGGCGUAAUGAUGGCCAGGCUGUCUCCACCCGAGACUCAGUGAAAUUGAACUCGCUGUGAAGAUGCAGUGUACCCGCGGCAAGACGGAAAGACCCCGUGAACCUUUACUAUAGCUUGACACUGAACAUUGAGCCUUGAUGUGUAGGAUAGGUGGGAGGCUUAGAAGUGUGGACGCCAGUCUGCAUGGAGCCGACCUUGAAAUACCACCCUUUAAUGUUUGAUGUUCUAACGUGGACCCGUAAUCCGGGUUGCGGACAGUGUCUGGUGGGUAGUUUGACUGGGGCGGUCUCCUCCUAAAGAGUAACGGAGGAGCACGAAGGUUGGCUAAUCCUGGUCGGACAUCAGGAGGUUAGUGCAAUGGCAUAAGCCAGCUUGACUGCGAGCGUGACGGCGCGAGCAGGUGCGAAAGCAGGUCAUAGUGAUCCGGUGGUUCUGAAUGGAAGGGCCAUCGCUCAACGGAUAAAAGGUACUCCGGGGAUAACAGGCUGAUACCGCCCAAGAGUUCAUAUCGACGGCGGUGUUUGGCACCUCGAUGUCGGCUCAUCACAUCCUGGGGCUGAAGUAGGUCCCAAGGGUAUGGCUGUUCGCCAUUUAAAGUGGUACGCGAGCUGGGUUUAGAACGUCGUGAGACAGUUCGGUCCCUAUCUGCCGUGGGCGCUGGAGAACUGAGGGGGGCUGCUCCUAGUACGAGAGGACCGGAGUGGACGCAUCACUGGUGUUCGGGUUGUCAUGCCAAUGGCACUGCCCGGUAGCUAAAUGCGGAAGAGAUAAGUGCUGAAAGCAUCUAAGCACGAAACUUGCCCCGAGAUGAGUUCUCCCUGACUCCUUGAGAGUCCUGAAGGAACGUUGAAGACGACGACGUUGAUAGGCCGGGUGUGUAAGCGCAGCGAUGCGUUGAGCUAACCGGUACUAAUGAACCGUGAGGCUUAACCUU